RNAcentral lists this ribosomal RNA (301 nucleotides) under uncultured bacterium. RNAcentral's name for it is "partial 16S ribosomal RNA". It matches the Rfam family "Bacterial small subunit ribosomal RNA", at positions 509 to 807 of the family's 1533-position model. The record is from RNAcentral.
CAGUCGCCGCGGGAAUACGUAGGUGGCAAGCGUUGUCCGGAAUUAUUGGGCGUAAAGGGCUCGCAGGCGGUUUCUUAAGUCUGAUGUGAAAGCCCCCGGCUCAACCGGGGAGGGUCAUUGGAAACUGGGAAACUUGAGUGCAGAAGAGGAGAGUGGAAUUCCACGUGUAGCGGUGAAAUGCGCAGAGAUGUGGAGGAACACCAGUGGCGAAGGCGACUCUCUGGUCUGUAACUGACGCUGAGGAGCGAAAGCGUGGGGAGCGAACAGGAUUAGAUACCCCAGUAGUCCCUGUCUCUUAUAC